GAUGAAGAACGUAGCGAAAUGCGAUAAGUAGUGUGAAUUGCAGAAUUCAGUGAAUCAUCGAAUCUUUGAACGCACAUUGCGCCCCUCGGUAUUCCGUGGGGCAUGCCUGUUCGAGCGUCAUUUACCCCUCAAGCACUGCUUGGUGUUGGGCGUCUGUCCCGCUUCGCGCGCGGACUCGCCCCAAAGGUAUUGGCAGCGGUCGUGCCAGCUUCUCGCGCAGCACAUUGCGCUUCUCGAGGCGGUCGAUCGGCGUCCACGAAGCUCACCUCCACCGUUUGACCUCGGAUCAGGUAGGGAUACCCGCUGAACUUAAGCAUAUCAAGCGGAGGA
RNAcentral lists this unclassified non-coding RNA (330 nucleotides) under soil metagenome. RNAcentral's name for it is "partial contains 5.8S ribosomal RNA, internal transcribed spacer 2, and large subunit ribosomal RNA". The stretch from base 1 to 120 matches the Rfam family "5.8S ribosomal RNA", at positions 35 to 154 of the family's 154-position model. The record is from RNAcentral.